GACGAACGCUGGCGGCGUGCUUAACACAUGCCAGUCGAACGGUAAGGCCUUUCGGGGUCCCCGAGUGGCGAACGGGUGAGUAACACGUGGGUGAUCUGCCCUGCACUUCGGGAUAAGCCCGGGAAACUGGGUCUAAUACCGGAUAGGACUGCGCGGUGCAUGCCGUGUGGUGGAAAGAUUUAUCGGUGCAGGAUGGGCCCGCGGCCUAUCAGCUUGUUGGUGGGGUAAUGGCCUACCAAGGCGACGACGGGUAGCCGGCCUGAGAGGGCGACCGGCCACACUGGGACUGAGACACGGCCCAGACUCCUACGGGAGGCAGCAGUGGGGAAUAUUGCACAAUGGGCGCAAGCCUGAUGCAGCGACGCCGCGUGAGGGAUGACGGCCUUCGGGUUGUAAACCUCUUUCAGCAGGGACGAAGCGUGAGUGACGGUACCUGCAGAAGAAGCACCGGCCAACUACGUG
This 462-nucleotide ribosomal RNA is filed under the name uncultured bacterium. RNAcentral's name for it is "partial 16S ribosomal RNA". It matches the Rfam family "Bacterial small subunit ribosomal RNA", at positions 28 to 507 of the family's 1533-position model. The record is from RNAcentral.